AUACGGAGGAUGCGAGCGUUAUCCGGAUUUAUUGGGUUUAAAGGGAGCGUAGGCGGGAGCUUAAGUCAGCGGUUAAAUGGUGCGGCUCAACCGUGCCCUGCCGUUGAAACUGGGUUUCUUGAGAGUGCAAGAGGCGGAUGGAAUUCAUGGUGUAGCGGUGAAAUGCUUAGAUAUCAUGAAGAACUCCGAUUGCGAAGGCAGUCCGCUGGGGCACGUCUGACGCUGAUGCUCGAAGGUGCGGGAAUCAAACAGGAUUAGAUACCCUGGUAGUCCGCACGGUAAACGAUGAUUACCCGCUGUCGGCGGCAGACAGUCGGCGGCCAAGCGAAAGCGAUAAGUAAUCCACCUGGGGAGUACGUUCGCAAGAAUGAAACUCAAAGGAAUUGACGGGG
RNAcentral lists this ribosomal RNA (392 nucleotides) under uncultured bacterium. RNAcentral describes it as "partial 16S ribosomal RNA". It matches the Rfam family "Bacterial small subunit ribosomal RNA", at positions 523 to 918 of the family's 1533-position model. The record is from RNAcentral.